UGGGGAAUUUUGCACAAUGGGGGAAACCCUGAUGCAGCGACGCCGCGUGAUUUAGAAGGCCUUCGGGUUGUAAAAAUCUUUUCUAUGGGAAGAAAAUGACAGUACCAUAGGAAUAAGGACCGGCUAAUUACGUGCCAGCAGCCGCGGUAAUACGUAAGGUCCGAGCGUUGUCCGGAAUCAUUGGGCGUAAAGGGUACGUAGGCGGGUAAGCAAGUUAGAAGUGAAAUCCUAUAGCUCAACUAUAGUAAGCUUUUAAAACUGCUCAUCUUGAGGUAUGGAAGGGAAAGUGGAAUUCCUAGUGUAGCGGUGAAAUGCGCAGAUAUUAGGAGGAAUACCGGCGGCGAAGGCGACUUUCUGGCCAUAACCUGACGCUGAGGUACGAAAGCGUGGGUAGCAAACAGG
RNAcentral lists this ribosomal RNA (402 nucleotides) under bacterium. RNAcentral's name for it is "partial 16S ribosomal RNA". It matches the Rfam family "Bacterial small subunit ribosomal RNA", at positions 355 to 776 of the family's 1533-position model. The record is from RNAcentral.